RNAcentral lists this long non-coding RNA (331 nucleotides) under Panax ginseng (ginseng). RNAcentral's name for it is "long non-coding RNA (PGIN_LNC010637)". Lineage: Eukaryota; Viridiplantae; Streptophyta; Magnoliopsida; Apiales; Araliaceae. The record is from RNAcentral.
AGAAGCUCACGUGUCUUUGACCCCCUCACGACUUGACGAACCUUCCAAAACCCAACUCCUUACAAGCCCUAAUCUUUCUCUCUCCAAAAAUUAUAAGCUCGCUCGAUCACCCGCUGAUCAUACAAUUCCAGAAAAUUGGCUGAAUUUGAGUGCAAUCCGAUUAUCUGACUAUCUAAAUCGGGUUAGUAUUACUCUCUUAACUUCAUUUGUUCUUUCUGUUUCAGUGCAAAGUUCGUUUUCGUGAUUUAGCUUGUUCUGAAUCGGAAUUUAACCGAAGAGUGUUAUGUAGAACUUGAUUUUUAACCGGAAAGUUGAUGAAGUUUGCCUCUUG